AGGAUCAUUACCGAGCUCGCGCCCCCCGGGGCCGACCUCCCACCCGUGCGAUUGACUACCGUGUUGCUUUGGCGGGCCGCCACGGCGCCGGCUCCGGCCGGAGAGCGCCCGCCAGAGGCCCCGAAACCCCGUGCUGUCCGUGUUGUCCGAGCACUAUCGAAUAGUUAAAACUUUCAACAACGGAUCUCUUGGCUCUGGCAUCGAUGAAGAACGCAGCGAAAUGCGAUAAGUAAUGUGAAUUGCAGAAUUCAGUGAAUCAUCGAAUCUUUGAACGCACAUUGCGCCCCUCGGCAUUCCGGGGGGCAUGCCUGUCCGAGCGUCAGUAGACACCCCUCCAGCCCCGCUGGGUCCUGGGCCCCGCCGUCCGACGGCGGGCCUCAAAGCGAGUGGCGGUGCCCGAAGGCCCUGAACGCAGUACAACCUCUCGUUCCGGGCGCCGACGGGUCGCCGGCCAGGUCAACCCCCCCCCCCUCACGGUUGACCUCGGAUCAGGUAGGGAUACCCGCU
This 507-nucleotide unclassified non-coding RNA is filed under the name Encoelia furfuracea. Its description in RNAcentral is "sequence contains 18S rRNA gene, ITS1, 5.8S rRNA gene, ITS2, 28S rRNA gene". The stretch from base 169 to 322 matches the Rfam family "5.8S ribosomal RNA". The record is from RNAcentral. Lineage: Eukaryota; Fungi; Ascomycota; Leotiomycetes; Helotiales; Cenangiaceae.